Oncorhynchus keta (chum salmon) is the source of this 1409-nucleotide long non-coding RNA. RefSeq lists it as uncharacterized. The record is from RefSeq and is a predicted model, not a curated record. The transcript has 3 exons. Lineage: Eukaryota; Metazoa; Chordata; Actinopteri; Salmoniformes; Salmonidae.
GUAAUGAGUCAGUGUCCUGGGGUACGAGGUAGUAGUGAGUCAGUGUCCUGGGGUACGAGGUAGUAGUGAGUCAGUGUCCUGGGGUACGAGGUAGUAAUGAGUCGCUGUCCUGGGGUACGAGGUAGUAGUGAGUCAGUGUCCUGGGGUACGAGGUAGUAAUGAGUCAGUGUCCUGGGGUACGAGGUAGUAAUGAGUCAGUGUCCUGGGGUACGAGGUAGUAAUGAGUCAGUGUCCUGGGGUACGAGGUAGUAAUGAGUCAGUGUCCUGGGGUACGAGGUAGUAGUGAGUCAGUGUCCUGGGGUACGAGGUAGUAAUGAGUCGGUGUCCUGGGGUACGAGGUAGUAAUGAGUCAGUGUCCUGGGGUACGAGGUAGUAAUGAGUCAGUGUACUGGGGUACGAGGUAGUAAUGAGUCAGUGUCCUGGGGUACGAGGUAGUAAUGAGUCAGUGUACUGGGGUACGAGGUAGUAAUGAGUCAGUGUCCUGGGGUACGAGGUAGUAAUGAGUCAGUGUCCUGGGGUACGAGGUAGUAGUGAGUCAGUGUCCUGGGGUACGAGGUAGUAAUGAGUCAGUGUACUGGGGUACGAGGUAGUAAUGAGUCAGUGUCCUGGGGUACGAGGUAGUAAUGAGUCAGUGUCCUGGGGUACGAGGUAGUAAUGAGUCAGUGUCCUGGGGUACGAGGUAGUAGUGAGUCAGUGUCCUGGGGUACGAGGUAGUAAUGAGUCGGUGUCCUGGGCUACGAGGUAGUAAUGAGUCAGUGUCCUGGGGUACGAGGUAGUAAUGAGUCAGUGUACUGGGGUACGAGGUAGUAAUGAGUCAGUGUACUGGGGUACGAGGUAGUAAUGAGUCGGUGUCCUGGGGUACGAGGUAGUAAUGAGUCGGUGUCCUGGGGUACGAGGUAGUAAUGAGUCAGUGUCCUGGGGUACGAGGUAGUAAUGAGUCACUGUCCUGGGGUACGAGGUAGUAGUGAGUCAGUGUCCUGGGGUACGAGGUAGUAAUGAGUCAGUGUCCUGGGGUACGAGGUAGUAGUGAGUCAGUGUCCUGGGGUACGAGGUAGUAGUGAGUCAGUGUCCUGGGGUACGAGGUAGUAAUGAGUCAGUGUCCUGGGGUACGAGGUAGUAAUGAGUCGGUGUCCUGGGGUACGAGGUAGUAAUGAGUCGGUGUCCUGGGGUACGAGGUAGUAAUGAGUCGGUGUGCUGGGGUACGAGGUAGUAGUGAGUCGGUGUCCUGGGGUACGAGGUAGUAAUGAGUCAGUGUCCUGGGGUACGAGGUAGUAGUGAGUCAGUGUCCUGGGGUACGAGGUAGUAAUGAGUCAGUGUCCUGGGGUACGAGGUAGUAGUGAGUCAGUGUCCUGGGGUACGAGGUAGUAAUGAGUCGGUGUCCUGGGGUACGAGGUAGUAGUGAGUCAGUG